Triplophysa dalaica is the source of this 1513-nucleotide RNA transcript. RefSeq lists it as uncharacterized. The transcript has 4 exons. Lineage: Eukaryota; Metazoa; Chordata; Actinopteri; Cypriniformes; Nemacheilidae. The record is from RefSeq and is a predicted model, not a curated record.
AAAGGGAGUAUGAAAUUUACAAAACAGUCACUCCAUAUGUUUAUCCGACGUGUCAAAACCACACACAGUUGCAAUAUUGUGAAAGGUAAUGUAAAAUCGAAAGCAGAUGUAAUUUGAACGCAGUCAUAUAGUUUAUAGAGGUACCAGCACUGAGACAGUAUAUGACUCAUAACAACCCACAUUCUAAAACAUAUUGGGUUGUUUUAAUCCAGUGCUGGGUAAAAUAUGAACAAAAUCAACCGUUGGGUUAUAAAUGAACCUAAACUGUUUUGUUUUAACAAGGGAUGUGCGAGACAAAAGUCGACAUUGAAAACACGAGUCGAUUACACAAAUAUAUUACACAUAAUGUAAUAAUUUAAAUGACUUUCAUUUUAAUGUCUGGUUUUAAAACCUUUUCAAGUACAUACUAAAACAAUAUGUUUGAAAAAUAAUUAUUAAUAGUUUUAAAAGUGUAUCAGGAAUUUUAGGUCAGAUAUAGCAUGCGUUUCACAUGAUCAAGAAAAACGCUUUCAAAGUUUUCAUUUGAGUAAACUAAAAUAACCUUGGUCUACAUGAACAAGUAAUGGUACAACACUCUGUAUUAAAGUUUUACAACUUAAGUUAAAUAUAAUACAAUUUGCUUUUUGGUGUUUUAUUUAUUAUCUUGAAUGUGUUCUAAUGACUCGAAACAGACUUUCCAGGACUUUCCAUAAGUCAGCUGUGGGUUGUCCCUUUAAACAGACACACUUUCAUUCCUGCAAAGACAACAGACGCCACAGCUAUUAAAGAAAUGUGAAGAGAAAACCACAAGUCUGAAAACUCAGGUGGAAUCGCAAAUAUGGAGAAACAGACUGAGACAGACGGUUCGAAAGUAUUACGGAAGUGGAAAGACAACAAUGGGAGCUGGUAAUUCAAAUGAUUUGACGCAUUUCCCCAGCCAAGAGGGAAAUGCUCUAUCAAAGUGUCCAGUUUGUUUCUCCUCACUGAAACUCUGCCAUACUAGUGAAUUGCUUCAGUGUACUCAAUGCCCUACCGCUCCAUUCCUGUGUGGCUCCUGCCUCUACCCAUGCACUACUGAUUCUGCUACCUGUACAAACAACAUGUGCCCACUGGUAUCUACCCUACUAACCUGUGGACUGGUGUCAGACCCAAAGAGUAAGGUGUUUGAAUGCCCUGAGUUCCGAGCCUGUCCCAAGUGUCGCAGUUUAAUUAUUCAUGUAUCUGGGUGUAAGUUUGUGAGGUGCCACUCAUGCAAACACCGCUUCUGUUUCAUCUGCUUACAAGAUGACUGUUGUAAUGAUGUGGAGAAGUACUGGUCACUCACUUGCAAAAAGCCAAGAGCACAAAGACAAAGAUUUAUACUAACAUCCUGAACAUUCUUGGGUUGCAUAUUGUAUUUAUCGCCAGAUCUGUCACUCCAGAAUAAAUUAAUUGAUUGAUUUAAAUCACUAAAGGAAUGUAUUGGCAUUGACGACAACAUUUGAACGGUUUAGGUAUAUAUGUAUAUAUCAAUAAAAUAGAGUUGAGUAUCUUC